GGGCCCAUAGCUCAGUUGGUUAGAGCAGAGGACUCAUAAUCCUUUGGUCCCAGGUUCAAGUCCUGGUGGGCCCACCA
RNAcentral lists this transfer RNA (77 nucleotides) under Polynucleobacter necessarius STIR1. RNAcentral's name for it is "tRNA-Ile2 (CAT) (tRNA-Ile2-CAT-1-1)". It matches the Rfam family "tRNA". Rfam says of the family: Transfer RNA (tRNA) molecules are approximately 80 nucleotides in length. Their secondary structure includes four short double-helical elements and three loops (D, anti-codon, and T loops). RNAcentral also lists the same sequence under 34 other names. The record is from RNAcentral. Lineage: Bacteria; Pseudomonadati; Pseudomonadota; Betaproteobacteria; Burkholderiales; Burkholderiaceae.